This 2335-nucleotide long non-coding RNA is filed under the name Olea europaea (common olive). RNAcentral describes it as "long non-coding RNA (OEUR_LNC001998)". Lineage: Eukaryota; Viridiplantae; Streptophyta; Magnoliopsida; Lamiales; Oleaceae. The record is from RNAcentral.
GAGGGACCGGAAAAGAAAGACAGUGAUGGCACUGGUAAGGAGAACACUGGUGGCCGGUUGGAGAGGAGUAAGGUCAUCGGAGGUGGAGAAAAUGGGAGGAAUCGAGGGUGACCUCUUCCGGCGGUCCAUCUGCAGAGCUGUAGGUUGUGGUGGUGGGCUCCUUUGAAAUUUUGGCAACAGAUAUUUUGUGGACUGAGCAGAUAGAGUAAAGACUGGAAGUGGUGGAGGUUCUUAAGGAAAGUUGACUAGAAUGUGAAAUGAAAAGUGGAGAUAAAGAGGGGAAAAGGUAGUUUGACGGGAGAUGCAAAGUGUGUUGGGAAAUUAUCAUCACGGGGUAAAAUGAAGAAGAAACAAACAACCAGAAUAUCAAGAAGAUGAAAAAAGAAAAGAUGAAGAAGAAAACGAAUAUAAACAUGUGAUCGUUGUCCUCAAACGAUAUUCGCCCCCUCACGAUAUGAUUUUGGUGCUUAAAGAGUUUCACGGCAAACGAUUUGUAGGAUUAAUCAAGUCUUGUAAAGAAUCAAUACUUAAACACUUGUAUAAAUUCUCCAAAACUUGAAGAACACAAAGGGAAUAUUGAAUAUAGAUAAAGAAGACUUUGAUUUCUUCUUGUGGAAUGAAGAUUAUGAUCACAAAUGUAUUCAAGUGUUUUUCUUAAUGUUAGAAUGAUCAUCAACCAUCCAUUUAUAGCUAUGAAACAUUGCUAUACGAAGUGGUGCCACCAAAGUAUAAGUGAAAGGCUGCCAAAUUUGAAUCAAAAACCGUCUCCAACGGCUAAUUCCAUCCUCUAUGCGACCGCAUAGUCCAACAAUAUGCGGCCGCACAGUUUAUCUCAAACUGGGCAAGAUUAUUUCUGCAAGUAUCCAUGCGACCGCAUGGGCUACAAAGACCACAUUUACAGCCAUCAUCACCAUUUCAUUCCACACUCAAUAUUUUACUGAUUUUGAACAAUAUUUCCAUCAAUCCCCCACUUGUUCAAAACUUCAAUAAAGUCUCAUAUUUAAAGUAUACAGUACUCAUAAGUAAGUAUUAGAUAUCUUUCAAUUUGAAUCUAACCAUAGUGUAAUCAUUUUAUGUAUUUUUAGUCUGGAGUCAGUUAAAUGCGGUCCAAAUGCAACUUAUUGAUUGAUAUUGAAUUAUUAUGAUAUGAGAUAUUUUUAAUUCUAUAUGAAUUGCCUUAGAUUUUAUGAAGAAAAAGGGCAAAAAAGGAUACAUGACUCAUAUAUGAUAGUUGAUGCAGCUAAAUUGGAGACACACCGAGAACUUAUCUGAAAGAAUCUGUCGAUUGAGUGAAGCCUCAAUAGUAGUUGUGAAUUUGUAAAGAAUCAUUGCAAUCACUCCGGCCGAUAAUUCUCCCAACAGUGCCUGGACAGGCCAAGGCGCAGCCUUGGUGGUAACUGGUGACAGAGACACUGCUCUCAAGCUCUUCAGGACCUCUUCCUUCAACGAUUUCUUUGCCCCUGAUGACCUGAAUCUCUAAUAAGAGAAAAUGGGCAAAUAUUCAGAAUAUAUAUAUUAGAACUCCAGAACAAAAACACCCUACACUCUCUACAUUCAAUUUAAUCUCAAGAACAGAAAAUCAUAUGUGAGGCUGGAUUAAGCAACGCAAUGUCACUGCAUGAACAAUGAAUGCCACAUACAACUUCCAAAGCGAACUGCAUUAAUUAAUGAAGGUCCUAAGUUUGAACUAUCCUAAUCUAUCAUCUAAAAAUUGAAUCUUGCUAAUUAAAUAUGAACAUAAAUCUACUACUAAUUUAAUCUUAUCAAACAAUUGAACUUGUGUACCCUAUGAAUCACAAAAUAAGAAUUUGCUAAUUAUUUGGAAAUUCUGAUUACAACACUCAACAUUUGAGUAUGCAUACACAAGCAAACAAAGUAAGUUCAAUUCCUUUAUGAGCCAAAAAAGAAGGAAAAGCAAAACAAGCCCUUGGUGAGUAUAAAUACCGUUUCUUUGGCACGCUUGGCGCGGCAGCGGAGGGACCGGAAAAGAAAGACAGUGAUGGCACCGUAAGGAGAGGAGCAGGGUCGUUGGAGGUGGAGAAAAUGGGAGGAAUUGAGGGUGAGAAUUCAACGGGUCCCUCUUCCGGCGGUGCAUCUGCAGAGCUGUAGGUCGUGGUGGUGGGCUCCUCUGAAAUUUUGGCAACAGAUAUUUUGUGGACAGAGCAGAUAAAGACUGGAAGUGGUGGAGGUUCUUCAGGAAAGUUGACUAGGUUGUGAAAUGAAAAGUGGAGAUAAAGAGGGGAAAAGGUAGUUUGAGGGAAGAUGCAAAGUGUUCCGAAAGUGCAACAUUUGUAGAGGUUUUGGUUUACAGUUGAGGAUUGGAAGGGCUCAUGGC